CUGUGGAAACGGAAGUAAAAUGCAGAUAUUGGUCUAUAUUAACAAUGAAAUUAAAAUUUCUGAGCUAGUUUCCUGAUGAAAACGGCAGCAUAAUUAUUGUUUAAUCAUUGCCAUGAUGAUUGACGGUUUAGUUUGAAGAAAAAACACGUAUUUUAUGUGUCGAUUGCUGGCACCGGAUAAUGCAUGAAUUAGGCACCGGAUAAUAGCCGAAACUAAUGAACUUACGUAUCGUACUUUUAAAGAAUAUUUUGCAUUCUGCUUAUAUGGUUAACAUUUAAAGAAUUUCUUGAUUUAAGAUUGUUUAAUGAAUGUGUCGGUUAUUUCUCGUCACUCAGACCUGACCACUCUGUCUAAACGCCAGUUAAAACGCAUGAAAAAUGUCUUGACCCUGCCCUGAAAAAGCUUAUUAAAACAAGACAUUAAUGGUUACACACUGUAUUGAUUCUUACAAAAUCGGAUGUAGAACGCGUGCUAUUGUAGAACGACCGAUAAAUCGUUAAUAUCUAUAAGAUAUAACAACCAUUUGAUUGUUUUAAUAUUAAAAUCAUAUAAACGAUUUGAUCACCUUUGAUUGUUUUAAUAUUAAAAUAAUAUAAACGAUUUGAUCACGAUUUGAAAAAAAGUUUUGAGACCAGUUCAGCAGUAAUAAUUGUAAAAUAGAAUUGUUGGCGUAUUGUUAAUCUUUUUUAUUAACCAUUCAUGUUUACUUUAGUGCGAUUAUAAUAAUUGUUAUUUAUUAUUUUAUUGAAUAUUAGUGAGUUAUGUGUAACCUUCGGUUUAGAUUUAGAGUGACUUCCCUUGUUUACAAAUGCACUUUCCUCAAAAUGCACACAUGAUACCAGUGCCCUCACAUCAUUCUGUCAUGAUCUGAUUCUGAGUUCGGAUUUAGAGUUUGAAGUUCGAGAUAGUCAGAUAGAAUAUGGAUUUCACGAACGACCUAAGUUUUUUCAGAUUUGCGGUGACUGAACAGGAGCAGGAGAGUUUUGUGGUGUCAUCUGAAACUGAUGGAAAUGAACACAAUGUUGAGUCUGGAGACCAAGCGGAUAAUUUAUUGUUUGACUGCAACAAUAAUGAAAAAGCCACAGAGCAACCUUUAGACUUAGAAUGUUCUGUUGAAAUUGUUGUUGACAAUAAGAAGAAAUAUGAAUGCAAUAUGUGUGAAAACAAAUAUAGCACAAGAACUGGAUACAAAAGACAUUUAGUUAGCCAUUCCAAUGAUGGUCAAAAGUGCACUGUUUGCGAAAAAGUGUUCUAUUCCACCUAUGACUUAAAGAAUCAUAUGAGCAACCACAGUAACUUACGCACUUACUCGUGCAUUGAAUGUGAAAAAAACUUUAAAACAUAACGCGACUUAAAUGUUCACAGAACAAGGCUACACAAAUCUUACUUUAAAUGUGUGUGUGAAGUAUGUGGGAAGGGUUACAAUUAUAGAAAUGAGUUAGAUGGACACAGGGCAAAACAUGAUGGGUCCAAACCAUUUAAGUGUCCUAAGUGCAACAAAGCAUAUCAGUACAUGCCUAACCUGUCACGGCAUGUGUGCGGAAAAAUGGAAUCACCCAAGUGUGAUAAGUGUGGAAGCAUUUUCAAGACAAAACGCUACCUUCAUGAACACAUGAAGGCUCAUGAUGACCCCGAACAACAUCAGUGUUAUGUGUGUGGAACUUUUUACAAAUAUAGAUCUUCUUUUUAUAAACACAAAAAGAAGACUGGUCAUUAGUGUUUUAAAUGCUUUAGUCAGAAUAAGUACAGAUAAAACUCUGGAUAUAUUAUAAUGUUAUGAAGGCAUAUAAUUAUACAGUUAUAUCUGUUUACUGCAAGGCCUUAGCAGAAACUAAAUGGCAAUAGUAAACCCUUAUGAACCUUAUUAGCACUUGUUUUUCAGGAAAUCAUUUUGUUGACAUAAAGAAGCAUUGCUUUUGAGAAAUUACCAAUACCCGGUACACCAGCUGCAUACAAUUAAUUCAUAUUGUGGCAUUUAUUGUUUUAAUGCAGUCAUCUGAUUAUUAAUCCUGCCUUAAAAUAUAGUGUAGCAUUGUUGGAUUGUGUCCUUCUUAAGAUGAUGAUGAUGAUGAUUAUGAUUGGUUGGUUGAUGAUUAACAGCAACAAACUGUCUGAAUACGUUUUAUUUAAUAUUCUUGCUAUUUCAGGUAAUGACAUUUAUUUUUGGAGAAUAUUACAACUGUUAUAAUUUAAAUUGUUAUUAAACAGUAUUUGCAUAUUGGUUAUAUAUGUAUUAGGGCUCUGCAUUAAGGUUAUUCUGUUAAAACUACAUGUAUUUGAAUGCUUGAUGCAUGGUAUAUGUUUGUUAGGGCUGACUUGCAGUUGUUAAAUAAUAUUUUCUACCCCAUUUACGAGAUGCCAUGGUGACAAGCCAGCAUUUGAUUGUAUGAAGUUUUAUUUCUUUGAGCAAGAUGCUUGAUGAUAAUUGCAACUUUUUCUUUCAACAAUAUAUUAAAUGUGUUAUUUGUGUAUAUAUUUUUCAUUCAGCUUUCACCAGACAGAAGAAACAGGCUUUCUUAUAUUCAUUCUUUAUUGAAGUGUCUAUUGACUGAAAAGUAUUAACUGUAUAAUAUAAAUGUAUGAAAUCGUGGCAGGAGCCGCUGGUCUUUAAGUUCAUUUUAAGUUUGACUAUUGUUUUAAUUUUUGCUGGUUUAAUGUUUAGUAUUAUCAAUAAAUGUGUUCUUUGUAGCUUCCUAAUACAGUAUUACAGAAAAGAAUAAAUAACUAAUCAGA
This is a long non-coding RNA of Dreissena polymorpha, 2733 nucleotides long. RefSeq lists it as uncharacterized. NCBI's taxonomy places the organism in Eukaryota, Metazoa, Mollusca, Bivalvia, Myida, Dreissenidae. The record is from RefSeq and is a predicted model, not a curated record. The transcript is spliced from 3 exons.